GCACAAAUAUUGACGCGGCGAGAAGCCGCAGAACCUCGUGAAUCUGGAGAACGGCUGUCUUCCGGGAGAGACGAGAUUUCGCCGGUAGAAAGAGGGCUUUCCUUUUUCGUUUAUUGACGCACAAUACCGUUCUCGCGAUUCUAUUGGCAACACCCCCGAGACAAUGGAAUACUUCGCGUGGGAGGAAGUCGGUUGACGUUUGAAACUAGGUCGCGAUUUGUCAUCGGAAACGAUUUCUGACCAGUCGAGGGGUGCACGAGAAUUUUUCAACAAAGUUCUCGAUUUUAUUCGCUUCGACAGUGACUAAAAAAUUAGUUUUUCGCAUUCGGAGUGAUAAGAAAAAAUGGAAAACUUUUAAAAUUUCCAGUGACCGAAUUUCACAUCAUUCUAAUCUCGAACCAUGUCCAAAAAAGUUUAAUGAAAAUGUCAAAAGGAGUAAAAAGGUACUGCCUAAAUAAUCAAUCAAAUUAUAAUAGAUUUUAGAUAUUCCAUCAUAAAAUUUUUGAUAACAAAAUCCCACGGCGCCGAUAAAUUUAAUUAACAAGUGGCGAUCAAUUACCUGGCAACGGAGUCUUGAUUAAAAUAAAAAAUCAAAUUUUGAUAUGUUCUCUAAGAAAAACAAAACACAGUAAGAAUCAAUAUUAAACUUUGCAUGGUACGUCUUUUCACGGUACUUAUUGUUAGCUUCGAUAUUUGACUUCCCCAGACACAAAGAUACGCUUCGGACCAGUGCGAUUUUGUGUUGAAGUCUCGCGAUAAAGAAUAUCGGUCCCGGAAGUAUGUGCGAAUAGAUUUGUAGAAACAAUUUGUCGAACGAACGGCACGAGGAGUUGGUUCCAAAUUGUUCCGAGUAUUGCUGAAAGAAAUUUUUUCGCCGUUGCUGAUUCCCGAAUAGGUAGGCAGUCGUGAUUAUCAAUGAUUGCGAGUUUAGUUUGGGGGAUUUAGUUAGGAUCCUCUUUCGCCUUUUCCGAUUGUCCAUAUCGUCGCUGCCGCGCUUAUUCAUUACGUCUUCCCGCGGAAAUCGCGCGCGAGGAUGUCCGGGAGGACGUCGCUGAUGGAACAGAAGAAACUCCAGUGGGCGAGGGAAAGGGAGGAAAUGUCUCGUCUGGGUGUUAAUUGGGGAACUCUGAAAACUGAUAGUAAUCACAACCACAGUCAUAUUCGUACUUACUCGAACGAGGCCCGACUAUCCUUGGGGGAAAUAAGGGACAGGCCUUCGGUGCAACCCUUUCGUACGGCUCCCGGACAUUACGGGAGCACCGUCAGUGUGAAAAGUCUGGUAACGGAAAGUUCCGCGAAUGACAAAAGCAACCUCAAGUGCCUCGACUACAACGGCGGCAGUUUGAUUAAUCUUCAGGACCAGGUGGAGACUUCGCAAGUCAGACACAGAAGCCCCAGUCUGCCUCCGAUUUUCAACAAGGAGCAACAGCAGUAUUUCUGCCAGCUGGAACAGCAACAGCGUGACUUCGGCGUGGAGGGAUCGCGAUACCAGCCACAGAGAUCGCAAAAACUGGAGCACCGUCGCCAUCGAUCCAACGAGCGUCGCGAGAGCCAAAAAGAGGCUCGGCAUUACGGCUCGCUGGGCGAGGAGCGCGAAGGCGAGACUUCCGGUUACGCCAGCGACUCCGUCGAUGUACCGCAGCCGGGGCAAAGAGCUCUGCCUGACAAAGCAGCAAGCAGGAUGGAAAUGACGGAGAAAACGUGGCAAAAUCCUUACUGCACCACCCCGGAGAGUUCACUGCCACCGUCGAGAAGGCUCUCGCCGGGCAGAAUGGGCGAACUCAACAGGCCAAGGUGGGGCGGUGUCUGGGGUCAAGACGCAGCGAGAGGCGACCCACCGCCUCCCUCUUGGCUAUCAAGAUUAGGACAGUCGAGCCAAGUCCUGGUAAUCAAUCACGACAGCGCCAGCAGCCCGGACAGUCCAAGGACUGGCUCAACCGGCUCCGACAUCAAUAAAGUAUCUUAUCUGCGGGGUCAGAAUAUUCCAGUAGACGCGAAUAUUCUUCACGAACGGGAAACGAGACGGCAGAAAGCGCGGGAGCUUCAGAACGCCAUCAAGCAGCAGCUUGAGGAGAAGGACAGGCAGAGGAAAGAGGAGAAAGAGCAACGGAUGAGGGAGGAGAUGUUGGAAGAAGAACGAAUCCGGCGAGAGAGAGAAAAAGACAGAGAAAGAUUCGAGAGGGAGCAGCGGAUGACACGAGAGAAGGAGGAGGCGAAGCUGAGGCAGGCACAGGCGAUGCGCGAGGUGCUGGAAGCUGCGGAGCGGCUGGCAAUGGAAGAGCGGAAGAAUCGGCGGAAGCGAGAGGAGCACACCGACGAGGACACCGACGUAGUAACGCAAUCUUCCAAUAAAGCAAAUGCAACGGCGAACGCAACGGCGAACGUGAACGACAAACGCGAAGAACAGAAUUGCUCGCAGACGCAGAAGCAAAGCGCGAACUUGAUCGAUUAUCCCGAGGAAAAGUCCAGCCCAAAGGGCGUCAAGGAGGCCGACAAUUACCGAGAAAGCGAGACCGACAAGGAACCAAAAGGAGUUUCUUCACGGAUGAGUUACGCGGACAAGUCGGAAGAGGCCGCGCUGGAUCUGAACCCGAGGUCUCUUCAGGUUCCCGUGAGCAAAGACGUGGCGAUCGUGCUGAGCGGCCGGCUGGAGGACCCAGAGAUCCUGAGCAGGGCGAAUCUGCAACUGGUGAACCUAGUGAUGACGCCAAGCCCGCGCAGAUUCGACAGCGCGGAUUAUUUCUCGCUGGGGCUCAACACACUCAUGAGGAAUAACAGAAGUCCUAGGAACCCGACGAGGUCCUCAAGGGACACACCCUCGAUCGUCGUAGAGAACAGACUGUUGACGCCGAGCAAAUACAGAACGUCGGCCGGUCGGGACUUCGGCACGCAAACAGACGUGGAAUCCGACGUUCAGGAGCUGCGGGAGAAGCUGCAGGAUCAAUCGAUCAGAGACCAAGGUAUCACGAAGGACCGGAAGGACACGACGAACGCCAACCGAAGAAACGUUGACAAAUCGAAUAACGCGGGCUCCGGUGAAGAAAUCCCUAUGAAAACACUUCCGCGAUCCAAAUCGCAGCCCAGAACUACGCUCGAUAGCAGACCACGAUGGAACGCCAAUCGCCCAGGAACACGAUAUCGAACGCAAAGCGAAAAAGACCCGCACUAUCAGAGACGACUGCGAUUAAGAAGGCGACCGAUCGAGUCGAGCGACGAAGGGUCCAGGUCUCCGUCUCCCGACCGGCGGAAAUCAAAUAACGGAAAGUCAAAGAGUCGAAACACCAUCAGGCGUAAAGCGAAAGCCGAGAAUUACGACGCCGAUCUAUCGAUGGACAGUCUGAAUUCCGUUGUGCCUCUGCGGAUCGACAAAGACGGGAAGAUUAACAUAGAGGAACGUGCCGAUAAAUUACGGUCGCAAAACGAUGCGAGUCACGCGAUACGACCCGAUGACGAUAGCUCUAACGUCUGGCGCGGACAAGAAAUUUUGUCCAGACUGUCGUCAUUGAGAAGCGGACUGCUGAUGAAGCAGAUCGAGUGGGAUUCCGAGCGAUGUCUGGUCUCACCCGCUGCAUCCGAAAUCUUUUAAGCGCCUGCGGAAUUUCCUUGCCGUCAGACCAUCCUUUUGUUUUUCUUUUCGUUUACGUAGAAAAUUUAGAUAAUGGCCUUCCAAUUGGACGAUCUACUGAGGGACGACAAGAAAGACGCGAACUUGAUACCCGAUUUGAGU
Vollenhovia emeryi is the source of this 3727-nucleotide RNA transcript. It is a transcript of the gene named trichohyalin, with no coding region annotated. NCBI's taxonomy places the organism in Eukaryota, Metazoa, Arthropoda, Insecta, Hymenoptera, Formicidae. The transcript is spliced from 12 exons. The record is from RefSeq and is a predicted model, not a curated record.